Molecule: ribosomal RNA, 558 nt
Filed under: Trichoderma citrinoviride
Lineage: Eukaryota; Fungi; Ascomycota; Sordariomycetes; Hypocreales; Hypocreaceae
Description: eukaryotic LSU rRNA
Rfam family: 5.8S ribosomal RNA (bases 196-349)
Source: RNAcentral
UGUGAACGUUACCAAUCUGUUGCCUCGGCGGGAUUCUCUGCCCCGGGCGCGUCGCAGCCCCGGAUCCCAUGGCGCCCGCCGGAGGACCAACUCAAACUCUUUUUUCUCUCCGUCGCGGCCUACGUCGCGGCUCUGUUUUAUUUUUGCUCUGAGCCUUUCUCGGCGACCCUAGCGGGCGUCUCGAAAAUGAAUCAAAACUUUCAACAACGGAUCUCUUGGUUCUGGCAUCGAUGAAGAACGCAGCGAAAUGCGAUAAGUAAUGUGAAUUGCAGAAUUCAGUGAAUCAUCGAAUCUUUGAACGCACAUUGCGCCCGCCAGUAUUCUGGCGGGCAUGCCUGUCCGAGCGUCAUUUCAACCCUCGAACCCCUCCGGGGGGUCGGCGUUGGGGAUCGGCCCCUCACCGGGCCGCCCCCGAAAUACAGUGGCGGUCUCGCCGCAGCCUCUCCUGCGCAGUAGUUUGCACACUCGCACCGGGAGCGCGGCGCGGCCACAGCCGUAAAACACCCCAAACUCUGAAAUGUUGACCUCGGAUCAGGUAGGAAUACCCGCUGAACUUAA